AAGUGGGAAACGAUGUGGGAAGGCCCAGACAGCCAGGAUGUUGGCUUAGAAGCAGCCAUCAUUUAAAGAAAGCGUAAUAGCUCACUGGUCGAGUCGGCCUGCGCGGAAGAUGUAACGGGGCUAAACCAUGCACCGAAGCUGCGGCAGCGACGCUGAUGCGUUGUUGGGUAGGGGAGCGUUCUGUAAGCCUGUGAAGGUGGCCUGUGAGGGUUGCUGGAGGUAUCAGAAGUGCGAAUGCUGACAUAAGUAACGAUAAAGCGGGUGAAAAGCCCGCUCGCCGGAAGACCAAGGGUUCCUGUCCAACGUUAAUCGGGGCAGGGUGAGUCGACCCCUAAGGCGAGGCCGAAAGGCGUAGUCGAUGGGAAACGGGUUAAUAUUCCCGUACUUGGUGUUACUGCGAAGGGGGGACGGAGAAGGCUAUGUUGGCCGGGCGACGGUUGUCCCGGUUUAAGCGUGUAGGUGUGUGUUCCAGGUAAAUCCGGUUCACUUUAACACUGAGGCGUGAUGACGAGGCACUACGGUGCUGAAGCAACAAAUGCCCUGCUUCCAGGAAAAGCCUCUAAGCAUCAGGUAACAUCAAAUCGUACCCCAAACCGACACAGGUGGUCAGGUAGAGAAUACCAAGGCGCUUGAGAGAACUCGGGUGAAGGAACUAGGCAAAAUGGUGCCGUAACUUCGGGAGAAGGCACGCUGACAC
This 697-nucleotide ribosomal RNA is filed under the name Salmonella enterica. RNAcentral's name for it is "partial 23S ribosomal RNA". It matches the Rfam family "Bacterial large subunit ribosomal RNA", at positions 1061 to 1757 of the family's 2925-position model. Lineage: Bacteria; Pseudomonadati; Pseudomonadota; Gammaproteobacteria; Enterobacterales; Enterobacteriaceae. The record is from RNAcentral. RNAcentral also lists the same sequence under 1 other name.